CGCCUCACCCUUCAUCAUAUACACACCUCCUUAUUUCUCCCCACUUCUAUUUCCCCCUUCGUUUCCAAUCGACUGAAACAUAUAACUCAGAUCCAAAACCCUACAUCUCAACCAAUUUCACUUCAAACAAUCAUCUCAUCAAUCACAACCAUCACACAAACGAUCAAUCACACCGGUGUAAACUGUUCCAAACCUAGGGUUUUAUGGUUAGAGUUUAGGAACGAGCGAACGAUGUGGAACAAUUCCGGACUGGAGAUGUGGAACAACAACGGAGGACCGCCGCUAGCACCGCUGGGGACUGGAGGUGUUGGUGGCUCGAUUCCGCCACUGCCGGCUGCUCAACUCCUAAGCUUGCCUUUUUCCUUCAGCCAAACCUUUGUAACAGCUUCAGGCUAGGAUUGUAUACAUUUGUUCAUACAGAAACCAAAACGUUACGAUUAAAUUAUAAAUAAAGGUGAUUCCACAAGAGAAAUUGCAAACAUUACAGGAUGUCAUGGGCAAGAAAUUGCAGUGCUAUCUAAAGUUGAAUCCCAUAAUUAUUAAAGGUAGUGUUUUGAUAUCGUCGUAGCAAAGAUGGAGUAUUUUGAUCUUGAAUGAAUAUCAAAUCUUAAGUGCAACUUAAAUAGAAAUUCCGGUUAUUUUAACGUGUAUGGUCCCUGCUGUUUUUUCUCAUGGCCAUUCAGCUUUUCUUUUUGGUUUCCUUAGGUCCCUGGGCAGUAUUUAUAUGCUUUUUGGCUGGGUGUUUGGUUGGGGUGAUUCACAAACAAUUUCUAAUCCA
Molecule: long non-coding RNA, 778 nt
Organism: Helianthus annuus (common sunflower)
Lineage: Eukaryota; Viridiplantae; Streptophyta; Magnoliopsida; Asterales; Asteraceae
Exons: 2
Source: RefSeq, a predicted model, not a curated record